RNAcentral lists this long non-coding RNA (301 nucleotides) under Brassica napus (rape). Its description in RNAcentral is "long non-coding RNA (BNAP_LNC017961)". The record is from RNAcentral. Lineage: Eukaryota; Viridiplantae; Streptophyta; Magnoliopsida; Brassicales; Brassicaceae.
UUUAGGGUUUGAAUUUUGAAAUAGUAUAAUUCAAAAAAAAAAUAAAAAAAUUAUUUAUUUAUUUUUUUAGAUUUUUAUUUAUUUAAAUAUUUAUUUAUUAUAUAUAUAAAGAACAUGGACAUAAGAGUUUUUUGUCACUUAAUGAAGAAUGUAUUUUUGAAAAUGUCAAAAAGUGAUAGCAUGAAAGUGGUAAACAUGUAAUUUCUCCUAUUUUUUCUCCAUAGAUAUUGAUGAUGUAAGAUUUUCGAAACAUUCAAGCAUUUAAAAUAAUAAUUAUUUUCAUAGAUAUUCAUUUAUAUAA